This 340-nucleotide RNase P RNA is filed under the name Lachnospiraceae bacterium. Its description in RNAcentral is "RNase P RNA component class A". It matches the Rfam family "Bacterial RNase P class A". From Rfam's summary of the family: Ribonuclease P (RNase P) is a ubiquitous endoribonuclease, found in archaea, bacteria and eukarya as well as chloroplasts and mitochondria. Its best characterised activity is the generation of mature 5'-ends of tRNAs by cleaving the 5'-leader elements of precursor-tRNAs. The record is from RNAcentral. Lineage: Bacteria; Bacillati; Bacillota; Clostridia; Lachnospirales; Lachnospiraceae.
CAAGUUAGAUAAGUGAUUGCGGCUGCCGUAUGGCAGGUGAGGAAAGUCCGGGCUUCAAAGGGCAGGAUGCCGGAUAACGUCCGGUGGAGGUGACUCCCAGGCUAGUGCAACAGAAAUAUACCGCCAGCUUUCGCUGGUAAGGGUGGAAAGGCGAGGUAAGAGCUCACCGCAGUCUUGGUAACAAGGCUGGCUCUGUAAACCCCAUCCGAAGCAAGACCAAAUAUAAGACUAUGCAGUUGCCCGCUGGGUCUUUAGGUAGGUCGCUUGAGCCUUAUGGUAACAUAAGGUCUAGAUAGAUAAUCACUCUCGACAUAACCCGGCUUAUAGUCUAACUUGCACA